ACUGCACUGGGCCUUUAAAGGUGAAAGUAAAGAAAAUAUGUUAUGAAUAAAUACAUUACAAGAGGACAACUCGCAAUCAGACAAAAAUAGCUAUGUAUUUACACAAAAUAAAUAACAUUUAGACUUUAAAACACAGUUAUGCACAUAUCAGGCCUAUAGCCUACAUUAGUUUAUUCUCACAUGUAUAAAUAUAUCAGCUUACUCAAUCAAUUCCCAUUUCUUUGGAAUUUAGUAAUAUCUUUGUGAGAGUAACCUAUGACGUCUACACUUUCCACAGGAAUCUGCAUGGCCAUGUCAUGAUCCACUGGGUCAAAGAGUGAAACCCCCUCCAUGUUUCUAAAUGUUCAAUCUCUUACAAUGCAAUGCAAUGCUGAUCUGAUCCCAUUUCCAAUCCCUAUUUAAUGCCAUUAACAAAAUCUCACAACACAUUGCCUUCGAUCUUACAACCUGUAUGUAGUAUUGUCUAUUUAUUAUACAGGUUUAUGUCAAUGGCAUAGCAGGGGUUCAUUUUAGCAGAAUCCUCUCUGUGCGGUAGCUCAGCCGGUGUGGUCUAAAUUUAACCCUAAUGCCAUGUGACAUGAAUGUCUAUUUUAGUAUUUCUGCCUGCUACUCACAGGCAGAGAGAAAGAGAGAUUGGGAGUAGAGAGAAACCUGACACUCCCCACAACCACAGAGAGAUGAGCACGCAAACAUCACCCGUGCAGCCCUACAAGUGUUCUCUUGGUGCACCAAACACAACAUGCCCCAUUUGUGCCACGAGGUCCCAUAAGGUUAGCAGGAGGAAAGAGCUGGUCAUGAAUAGAGCCUGAUAUCAAAUGAUUUUCAACCAACUGUACAAUAUUUCCCUGCACUAUAUGCCUAUGCCAGAGUAUGUGAGCGUAGCGUGCCCAAUUUGUCUGGAGCUCAGAGCAAGGUUCCGAAAGGCUGGCGCAUUGGCCUUCUCGCCUGCUCCAAUAGCACUCCAAAGUAGCGCUCACUUCAUGAGCUCAGGGCAUGCCUGGCCCAGCAUGUAUUUGUAGUCUACUUUUGUGCUGCUAUAGCCCCUUGCUUUAGCUACUGUCAUGGAGGUCGCUAAAUGUUUUCAUAAAGAAACUGAUAAAACACAAAAAAAACGCAAAAUCAUGGUGACUUACAAACAGGGAUGGAGCCAGAGGAGUGUCUGGGGUGGCACUGGACACCCCUGACAUCUGAUUGGCCACCCUGGGUGCCACCCCAAAAUUCCAUUCGCUACUGGCAGUUUGAUGCUGAUUGACAUCUCAUUUGCAUCAUCACCGGACCCCAGAGCAGUUCCCUACCUGAGUCUAGAGUCAGUGUGGUCAGACUUCACAAGGACCAAGUCUACCACCACCAGAUGUAUCAAGGGAUGACACAGAGACCUCUGACUCUGAGUAAGACAGUGAACCAGAGCUGCCGGGAAAGGUCAUCAAGCCCCUCCCAACUGCAUCAAGGGAUGACACAGAGAGCUCUGGUUCGGAGCAAGACAGUGAGCCAGAGCUGCCAGGAGGUGUCAUUGAGCCCCUCCCAACUGUGUCAAGUACCAGAUAUGCUGUUCCAAAAGGACUGAUGACAUUUCAAGAUCCAGAGAAGAGGGUCCUGUACAGACGUGUUUGAAAUCAUUUCCCAGAACUCAGCAUGGUACUAGGAAAGGGGUUUUCAACAGCUCCUGGUAUAAGGACAAUUCAUGGCUUGAAUAUUAAGUAAGUCAAGAUUUGACUUAGUUUUACCUGUAGGCAUUUUUCUCUGCCCAAUACACCUGAAUCUGCCUUCACAUCACAGUCAUGUUUCUCUGCCCAAUACACCUGCAUCUGCCUUCACAUCACAGUCAUGUUUCUCUGCCCAAUACACCUGAAUCUGCCUUCACAUCACAGUCAUGUUUCUUUGCCCAAUACACCUGAAUCUGCCUUCACAUCACAGUCAUGUUUCUCUGCCCAUACACCUGAAUCUGCCUUCACAUCACAGUCAUGUUUCUCUGCCCAAUACACCUGAAUCUGCCUUCACAUCACAGUCAUGUUUCUCUGCCCAUACACCUGAAUCUGCCUUCACAUCACAGUCAUGUUUCUCUGCUCAAUACACCUGAAUCUGCCUUCACAUCACAGUCAUGUUUCUCUGUUCAAUACACCUGAAUCUGCCUUCACAUCACAGUCAUGUUUCUCUGCCCAUACACCUGAAUCUGCCUUCACAUCACAGUCAUGUUUCUCUGCCCAAUACACCUGAAUGUGCCUUCACAUCACAGUCAUGUUUCUCUGCCCAUACACCUGAAUCUGCCUUCACAUCACAGUCAUGUUUCUCUGCCCAAUACACCUGAAUCUGCCUUCACAUCACAGUCAUGUUUAUCUGCCCAUACAUCUGAAUCUGCCUUCACAUCACAGUCAUGUUUAUCUGCCCAAUACACCUGAAUCUGCCUUCACAUCAGUCAUGUUUCUCUGCUCAAUACACCUGAAUCUGCCUUCACAUCACAGUCAUGUUUCUCUGUUCAAUACACCUGAAUCUGCCUUCACAUCACAGUCAUGUUUCUCUGUUCAAUACACCUGAAUCUGCCUUCACAUCACAGUCAUGUUUCUCUGUUCAAUACACCUGAAUCUGCCUUCACAUCACAGUCAUGUUUCUCUGCCCAAUACACCUGCAUCUGCCUUCACAUCACAGUCAUGUUUCUCUGCCCAAUACACCUGCAUCUGCCUUCACAUCACAGUCAUGUUUCUCUGCCCAAUACACCUGAAUCUGCCUUCACAUCACAGUCAUGUUUCUCUGCCCAUACACCUGAAUCUGCCUUCACAUCACAGUCAUGUUUCUCUGCUCAAUACACCUGAAUCUGCCUUCACAUCACAGUCAUGUUUCUCUGUUCAAUACACCUGCAUCUGCCUUCACAUUACAGUCAUGUUUCUCUGCCCAAUACACCUGAAUGUGCCUUCACAUCACAGUCAUGUUUCUCUGCCCAUACACCUGAAUCUGCCUUCACAUCACAGUCAUGUUUCUCUGCCCAAUACACCUGAAUCUGCCUUCACAUCACAGUCAUGUUUCUCUGCCCAAUACACCUGCAUCUGCCUUCACAUCACAGUCAUGUUUCUCUGCCCAAUACACCUGAAUCUGCCUUCACAUCACAGUCAUGUUUCUCUGCCCAUACACCUGAAUCUGCCUUCACAUCACAGUCAUGUUUCUCUGCUCAAUACACCUGAAUCUGCCUUCACAUCACAGUCAUGUUUCUCUGCCCAUACACCUGAAUCUGCCUUCACAUCACAGUCAUUUUUCUCUGCCCAAUACACCUGCAUCUGCCUUCACAUCACAGUCAUGUUUCUCUGUUCAAUACACCUGAAUCUGCCUUCACAUCAGUCAUGUUUCUCUGCUCAAUACACCUGAAUCUGCCUUCACAUCACAGUCAUGUUUCUCUGUUCAAUACACCUGAAUCUGCCUUCACAUCAGUGAUGUUUCUCUGCUCAAUACACCUGAAUCUGCCUUCACAUCACAGUCAUGUUUCUCUGUUCAAUACACCUGAAUCUGCCUUCACAUCACAGUCAUGUUUCUCUGUUCAAUACACCUGAAUCUGCCUUCACAUCACAGUCAUGUUUCUCUGUUCAAUACACCUGAAUCUGCCUUCACAUCACAGUCAUGUUUCUCUGUUCAAUACACCUGAAUCUGCCUUCACAUCACAGUCAUGUUUCUCUGUUCAAUACACCUGAAUCUGCCUUCACAUCACAGUCAUGUUUCUCUGCCCAUACACCUGCAUCUGCCUUCACAUCACAGUCAUGUUUCUCUGUUCAAUACACCUGAAUCUGCCUUCACAUCACAGUCAUGUUUCUCUGCCCAUACACCUGAAUCUGCCUUCACAUCACAGUCAUUUUUCUCUGCCCAAUACACCUGCAUCUGCCUUCACAUCACAGUCAUGUUUCUCUGUUCAAUACAUCUGAAUCUGCCUUCACAUCAGUCAUGUUUCUCUGCUCAAUACACCUGAAUCUGCCUUCACAUCACAGUCAUGUUUCUCUGUUCAAUACACCUGAAUCUGCCUUCACAUCACAGUCAUGUUUCUCUGUUCAAUACACCUGAAUCUGCCUUCACAUCACAGUCAUGUUUCUCUGUUCAAUACACCUGAAUCUGCCUUCACAUCACAGUCAUGUUUUUGUAACUGGAAAAAGGCUCUGUUUAAAGAUUCUGGGUUUAAGCUCCAUUCAAAGGCAGAGCAUCAUAUAAAUGCUGUGUAUGCUUGGAAUCAGCAUAAAAGGGCUAUUGACAGCAAAUUAUCAAUGUUAGAUGUUAUAAAUGAGGACCGGAAAGUGGAGGAAAACUGUACUUAUAUUAAAAUAAUUGCAGAUGUGCUUCUAUUAACUAUCACUCAAAGUAUAGCGCAGACAGGUCAUCGAGAGUCUGAUGACUCUCACAACAAGGGUAAUGUUUUGACAAACUUAGAAGAAAUAGCAAAGCAUGACCCUCUCAUAAAGAAAAGGAUGAAUGCAUGUGGCAAUGCUAAGUACACAAGCCACCAAAUCCAGAACAAAGUUCUUGAGGGCUUAGCUGAGAUGGUACUGUAACGCCUGUCGUCAGAAGGAGUGGACCAAAGCGCAGCGUGAAAAGUGUUCAUGAUUUUUUUAUUACCAAAAAAAACUCGAACAAAGUAACAAAACGAAAGCGAACAGUUCUGUCAUGUAACAAAGACUAAACAGAAAAUAACUACCCACAAACACAGGUGGGAAAAGCGCUGCCUAAGUAUGAUUCCCAAUCAGAGACAAUGAUAGACAGCUGCCUCUGAUUGGGAACCAUACUCGGCCAAAAACAAAGAAAUAGACAACAUAGAAUGCCCACCCCAAAUCACACCCUGACCUAACCAAAUAGAGAAAUAAAACGGCUCUCUAAGGUCAAGGCGUGACAGGUACAAAGUCAAAUAAUAAGAGAAGUAAAAGAAAGUGAAGUUUUUAGUGUAAUUGCAGAUUAAACAAAAUAUUUAAAGAAAAGAUAACAAAUGUCUUCAGUUGUGAGGUUACAACGGGGCCAUCCACGAAAGCGUUUUACACUUUCAGUAAGCUGAAAGCUUAUAUGCAGAAGGUCUCACAAAAAUGAUACUUGAUUGCCUUGAAAAACAUGGUCUGGACUACAGAAAUAAUCUUGUGGGGCAAAGCUAUGAUGGUGCAUCUGUCAUGAGCGGAAAGCAUUCUGGUGUGUCUGCAUGGAUUAAAAACAGUGGUAGAUUUGCAUUUUAUGUGCACUGGCAUGCAUAUUGUUUUCAUUUGGUUCUUGUCGAUGCUGUAAAAUCAGUGCCUGAGGCAGUUAACGUUUUUGCUCUCCUGCAGAAGCUUUAUAACUUUGUAUCUGGCUCAUACAUUCAUCUCAAGUGGCUUGCAGCUCAGAAAGAGCUGUACCCACAGCAGCAGCCCAGUGAACUUAUGGAUGUAAGGUGGGCAUGCAGGUACAUGGCAUGCCAUAAGGAUUCCAGCAGUUCUGAGAGCGCUACAGGAUAUCACACUUGAAAAUAGUGGUGAUAGAUCAGUGGAGGCAAGGGGCCUUCUUUCUCAAAUAGAUUUACAAUUCAUAGGGCUGUUGGUUACCUUUUUGUUAGUAUAAUUUAAUUAUGCCGAUGUGCUUUCAUCAAUUGAAAGCCCUUCGUCUAUUUUAUGAGAAUUUGCAAGAUUUCUUGUUUGCAUAAAAUGGACGCAGACCAGUCUUUAAAUAAUAGGUAAUAGAAUUUAUUCUCGGAGCGCGCUACCACUCAAAACAAAUGCAUCAGUUUAAAUACAGAUCAUGACGUCAUUUCACUGUCUUAAACGAACCCCCCCCCUCUCUCGACAGGACAAAGUAAGGUGAAAAGUUCAUUCUAUCUUACUAACACACUCCCAGAUAACUUUUGACCCCUCAACAUUAUCGAUCACCACUGAACUGACAGGUUUAAUUAACAGAAACCCUAGGAAUGCACUCACUGCCUAAUCUAAAAACCCCAGAGGUAAGUUUCAGGUUGGGUCAACCAUAGGCUCACGACCUUAUGUGUUUACACAGUCCACAACCCAUUUGUUCCUGCCCAGUUGGAAUGGUUUUAUUACUCCUUUCUCCUGUCACACAAUUUCUUCCUAUGAACUCAUAUUGUCUAUUUAAACAUACAGAGUAUAAGUUUAUCUAGACACAAUUCUAUUUAAAAUGGGGAUAUUGUUUAUUCAUUUAUCCAUAAUAAAUCCAUAAUAAAUUCAACACUUUUGUAAAGUGCUUGGUGAUGCCAAAUGUCUUUCUGACAUGCUCCAAUCAAGCUCUCUUGACCUAGCAAGGGCUGUGGAUCUAGUAGGUGCCCUUACAGACUCAUUACAGGACUACAGAAGUGAGGGUUACAUUGGAGAACUGUGGAAAGAGGUUGAAGAGUUUGCAGAGCACUGUGAAAUAAGUGUACAAACAGUGUGUAAAAGACAGCCUAAAACAAGCUUAAGAUUUCACAACGCAUUGAUGAUGAGCACCGUAGGACAGAAAGAUAGUGACCAACGGGAUGGUGAGAGCUUCCAAAGAGCUUUCUUUUAUCAGGUGCUUGACAGUCUCACAGCUGAGCCGCAGAUGCGUUUUCAGAGAAGAUUUGCGAGAUAAUGCAAAGGGGUCCAGUCCUUCAACCCAAAGAGGACAUCAUUCUUGAAUGAGGAGCCUCUGAUUGCCUUUGCUCAGACCUUUGAGUCAGAUUUAGAGGACCUCAAACAUGAGGUUCAUCAAACCAAGCGGCUUCUUGAUAUGAGAGAGAAAAGUGGAAGGGACAGACCGUCUACUCUCCUGGACUUUGUUGUGUUGCUAGAACCUUAUAAAAGUGGUCUUCCAUGAGAUAUUUUGACUUAGUAAGAUUUUUGUUGUUACACCAGUCAGCAGUGCUUCUUGCGAGAGAAUCUUCUCAGCUUUAUAACUGAUUAAAACCCACAUUAGGACAACAAUGGUUGAUGACAGGUUAAGUUACUUCAGAAUUACCAGUGUUGAGUCAAGGAGGGCAUGCUCCCUCAACAUGGAUGAGUUUGUGAAACACUUUGCCAGUUCUCACCAGAACUCCAGAAAUAUGCUGUUUUUAAAUCUACCUAGGAUAAUUUGGCACUUAGGCGGUCCCUCUGGUCAUGUUAUAAACCUGCACUGUGUACUAGCUAGUACACUGACAUUCUAAAAUGAUAUAAAUCCAGGGUAUCAAGGGUAUCAUGUCACACAUAUUUAAUUUGGUCUUGAUUAGGCCAAUUCCAAAACUUUUCUUUGCUAUUAGUUAACAUAAUAUAUAUGAGCAUUAAUAGUAAGUUUGUAAUAUUGAUGGGCACCAAAAUUAUUUUUGAAGUCCGUUUCUGCUUGAUACCUGGUAUGUCAAAUUGCAGUGUUGUUUUGUAAAUGUACUUUUUUGUAAAUAAACUAUGCAAUUUAUGUAACACACAAAUGCUAUCUUAUCUCCUUGGUGCUUGAGCUUUAUUUUCUUAAAAUAUUUAGGAUGUUCAACACUUAUAGAUCCAGAUGAUAUAUUCAUGAAAACAGAGUGACCCAAGUCUCUCCAGUGUGUGUGUGUGUGUGUGUGUGUGUGUGUGUGUGUGUGUGUGUGUGUGUGUGUGUGUGUGUGUGUGUGUGUGUGUGUGUGUGUGUGUGUGUGUGUGUGUGUGUGUGUGUGUGUGUGUGUGUGUGUGUGUGUGUGUG
This is a long non-coding RNA of Oncorhynchus keta (chum salmon), 7608 nucleotides long. RefSeq lists it as uncharacterized. NCBI's taxonomy places the organism in Eukaryota, Metazoa, Chordata, Actinopteri, Salmoniformes, Salmonidae. The transcript is spliced from 3 exons. The record is from RefSeq and is a predicted model, not a curated record.